This 420-nucleotide ribosomal RNA is filed under the name uncultured Nitrososphaerota archaeon. RNAcentral's name for it is "bacterial SSU rRNA". It matches the Rfam family "Archaeal small subunit ribosomal RNA", at positions 459 to 879 of the family's 1478-position model. The record is from RNAcentral. Lineage: Archaea; Thermoproteati; Nitrososphaerota.
CAGCCGCCGCGGUAACACCAGCCCCUCGAGUGGUGGGGAUGAUUAUUGGGCCUAAAGCGUCCGUAGCCUGCCGUGUAAGUUUCCCGUUAAAUCCAGCGUCUUAAGCGUUGGACCGCGGGAAAUACUGUACGGCUAGAGAGUGGGAGAGGUCAGCGGUAUUCUGGGGGUAGGGGCGAAAUCCUUUGAUCCCAGGAGGACCACCAGUGGCGAAGGCUGCUGACUAGAACACGCCUGACGGUGAGGGACGAAAGCUGGGGUAGCGAAUCGGAUUAGAUACCCGAGUAGUCCCAGCCGUAAACGAUGCAGGCUAGGUGUUGGGUUGGCCACGAGCCACCCCAGUGCCGCAGGGAAGCCGUUAAGCAUGCCGCCUGGGAAGUACGGUCGCAAGAUUGAAACUUAAAGGAAUUGGCGGGGGAGCAC